This 86-nucleotide unclassified non-coding RNA is filed under the name Arenibacter nanhaiticus. RNAcentral describes it as "Flavo-1 RNA". The record is from RNAcentral. Lineage: Bacteria; Pseudomonadati; Bacteroidota; Flavobacteriia; Flavobacteriales; Flavobacteriaceae.
CAUUUUCCGUGCGGUCCUUUUGAAGCGGAUCCUUUUUUAGCAGCUUGGUCUGGCUAAAAAAGAUACAGCGGAAAGAGCGGCCCGAU